GCGAGGAACAUGUAGCAAUAUGUGUUAUUCGAGCGGCGUAAGGGGCAGUAAUACCUGGGAACGUACCCUGAGGUCGGGGAUAGCUGCUAGAAAUGGCGAGUAACACCCGAUGAUCUCGAGAGAGCAAAGGCUUGCCGCCUUCGGAGCGGCCCAGGCGAUAUUAGCUAGUUGGUGGGGUAAUGGCCUACCAAGGCAUAGAUGUCUAGCGGGUGUGAGAGCACGACCCGCGCCACUGGCACUGAGACACUGGCCAGACACCUACGGGUGGCUGCAGUCGAGAAUCUUCGGCAAUGAGCGCAAGCUUGACCGAGCGACGCCGCGUGCGGGAUGAAGGCCUUCGGGUUGUAAACCGCUUUGGUCCGAAAGAAAGGGUAAAACUUGAUCGAUCGGAGAAACAAGGACGGGCUAAGUUCGUGCCAGCAGCCGCGGUAAGACGAACCGUCCAAACGUUAUUCGGAAUCACUGGGCUUAAAGGGCGCGUAGGCGGCCGAGCGGGUCACGGGUGAAAUCCUCCAGCUUAACUGGAGAACUGCCCUUGAUACCACUGCGGCUCGAGGAAGGAAGGGGCAAUCGGAACUGUCGGUGGAGCGGUGAAAUGCGUUGAUAUCGACAGGAACGCCGGUGGCGAAAGCGGAUUGCUGGUCCUUUUCUGACGCUGAGGCGCGAAAGCCAGGGGAGCAAACGGGAUUAGAUACCCCGGUAGUCCUGGCCUUAAACGAUGAGAACUAGGUAGUGGGUCCGACCUGGGCACACUGCCGAAGCGAAAGUUUUAAGUUCUCCGCCUGGGGAGUAUGGUCGCAA
Molecule: ribosomal RNA, 801 nt
Filed under: uncultured bacterium
Lineage: Bacteria
Description: bacterial SSU rRNA
Rfam family: Bacterial small subunit ribosomal RNA
Source: RNAcentral